Molecule: ribosomal RNA, 419 nt
Filed under: uncultured bacterium
Lineage: Bacteria
Description: bacterial SSU rRNA
Rfam family: Bacterial small subunit ribosomal RNA
Source: RNAcentral
UUUAUGAAAUCCAGUGGCAAACGGGUGAGUAACACGUAAACAACCUGCCUUCAGGAUGGGGACAACAGACGGAAACGACUGCUAAUACCGAAUACGAUUCUUGAGUCGCAUGACACAAGAAAGAAAGGGUGGCCUCUACAAGUAAGCUAUCGCCUGAAGAGGGGUUUGCGUCCGAUUAGGUAGUUGGUGAGGUAACGGCCCACCAAGCCGACGAUCGGUAGCCGGUCUGAGAGGAUGAACGGCCACAUUGGAACUGAGACACGGUCCAGACUCCUACGGGAGGCAGCAGUGGGGAAUCUUCCGCAAUGGGCGAAAGCCUGACGGAGCAACGCCGCGUGAGUGAAGACGGCCUUCGGGUUGUAAAACUCUGUGAUUCGGGACGAAAGAUAAGCAGACGAAUAAUCUGCAUAAGUGACGGU